Pipistrellus kuhlii (Kuhl's pipistrelle) is the source of this 3964-nucleotide long non-coding RNA. RefSeq lists it as uncharacterized. The record is from RefSeq and is a predicted model, not a curated record. The transcript has 2 exons. Lineage: Eukaryota; Metazoa; Chordata; Mammalia; Chiroptera; Vespertilionidae.
GCAGAGGAGGCACCAGAGCUAAGGCGAGGCCAUGCAACGCACUCCCUCUGAGACAGAAGCCGGGAGGGCAUCAGGUUGCCAGGGUCUGAUCAUGCCAUCCUUGGGAGACAGACAUGGGUUUUUCACGCUCGCAUGUUCUCUCCGGAGAUUCGGAGAUUCUGGUUCUGCCUUGCACACACUGGGAGCCCCUGCAAUGUCUGAAUGGACGCCUGAACGACGAAUGGGAUUUUCCGACAGUAACAGGCCUCCAGGCCCUCUUCCUCCUCAAGCAUCCUGUUCUUCCCUCCCAGUCUCACCUUCUUGCCCUCCUCUUCUGUGGAGGGGAAGUCUCAGAGACCCGUGAUGGCUUCCUCCAGCCUGGAGUCUCCCCAGGGCAACACAGAAGCCACAGAGGGAAUGAGCCACUCUUAGAAACUCCAGGUCUGACUGCCUAGACCAGCCCACUACCUAGCGGGUUCCCUUGGGUUGCAGGAAAGAACGUUUUCUAAAUAGUUAUUCUAAUUUUGCGGGGCUGCUGCUUUUAGUUGCAUUUCCUUCGUUACUUUACAAAAAUCCUCUGUAGGCAGCCUGUAGAUCAGGUUUCCUAUAAGAAGUGACUUUUUUCAUCUUCUUCUUCUUUCCAUUACCUGUGAGAAAUUCUAUCUGGGAGUAGGGAUUCCUGGCUUGGCACUCCUCUCUCCUACAGUAUCUAUUUUUAUUACCAUUAAUUACAAUGCAUCAGUCCCACUCAUCAGCGACACCCCCUCCCCGAGGCUGGUGACUGCUCUUGGCGCUCUGCAUCUGGGUGACGCCUGGUCAAGAGGGCACUCCCACCCAGCCAUCCAUCGGAAGGCAGCUACCGAGUUCUGCAUUUUUAAAGGGAGACCUGGAAAAAGCCAGGAUUGCUCUGGAUUUGGAAAUCCAAUACUUUAUUAUGUUGUUGUCUCUGCAAAUUAAAGCGAAAAUCCAGGGGCUGUGACUUAUAGAAGAAUGUGUGCUAAUUAAUUUAUGCACAGUGCCGCGAGACCACUUUAAUCAAGUAUGUGGAAACAAGAUCCAGCGCUGCUGGGGAGGGCACAUGGCCCAGGGAAUCGGGCGCGUGAGGCGGCUGCAGAGGGAUCGGGUCAAUUUUAGCCACAAAUAAAUGUCCUCUGGUAGCUCGUGGCAUGCUGGUCUGUGAUGACAGGCGUGCGCUUGGCCCUCUGGCAAUUACCAUCGCUGUUUUCACCAUUUUACUAUCAUUCAUUGUCAGGAACUGCUCACCUAUGGGGAAGGUUGGGUGGGUGGAACAGAGAGGACGUGGGCUUUGGUAUCAAAUGGGCCUGGGUCCUUGGUUCAGAUCCACCCCCUUAGUAGGUCACUCAAUCUUGGAGUCUUAUUUUGCCCAUUUGUAAACUGAAGACAACAAUCCAGUGCUUGGCACAAAAUAAACAUGCAGCCAUUGCUUAUUGAAUUGACUGCGUUUGCAUUGGGGAUUAGAGAUAAAGUUUAUGAAACAUCUGGUUCACUGUAGGUGCCCAAUAAUUAAAGCUGUUGCUGUCAUCAGGAUGCGAUGGGAUAGUGUGUUUCCGUAAUUGCCUAUAAUCACUGUUGUUUCAGAAAGCACCUGACUUAAGUGUCAAAAGGCGGAUUUAGUUUCCAGGUGACAAAUAUUAUCAGGCUUCUAUUGUAUGCUCAGACCUGGGCGAAGCAUUUUGGGAAAAGCGUUCAGUUAUGCGAACAGAGGUUCGGGAGCAGUGAAAAGACGGGAACUUGCACACACAACGCUGCCGUGGUCUCUCAGCUCACCGUCCACAGCAGCCUCGGACAUAGUGUGGGCAUUGGAGCCAGGCUAUCUAAGUUAAAUCCUGCCUCUGUCACUUAGUAACAGUGUGGCCAAGGGCAAGCCACUUAAUCUUAUGGAGUCAGUUUCCCAGUCUAGUGAGAAUAAAAAGCUGGUGUAACAAGCACCCUGCUCCCAGGAUUUUGGAAUGAGAAAAUGAGUUAAUGUAUGUGAGAAGGCUGGGUCCCUGUUUGGAGACGAGCAGAACUGCCAUCAUGUUUUGCCUUAUUUUAUGGUGUUUUAAGAGAUACAUUUUAUAGCCUCAGCAAGAUUUUAAUGUAGGGUCCUUGUUCAAAGGGUAGAUGGAGGGACACACACAAAGAAUCAAAUAGGAAUGUGCAUGUACACACAAAUAAUUUGUUUAUAUAAGCAAAUGCCUGUCCCCAUACAUGUACAUGUGGACACACACAAAUGCAUAUAUACCUACAUCCAUAGGAAAUUAUGGAUAUACCAUUCAUACUCACACGAGGAAAUUAUUCCUGAAGUCAUGGGGACCAUUUCACCCUCAAUGUACCGUAUAUAUCUACGUCACCCCCAAACCAGACCUCUAUGAGAGUUUAGUCACAAUUUGGUGGUUUUCGGGGAGAAGGAAACUCAGGUGGUAAGAGGGAUAGAAGCUGAAAGUAGGAAAUGUAAAUACAUUCAGUUACUGAGUUUCCCCUUCCGAAUAGCAAGCAUCCUUCACUGGAAAAUUUUGUCCGCUAAACGCGUUAUAAAGUUUGUGGCCGCUUGGCACAUGGCUGGGGAUGGGGGCAUUCUUAAGGAAUCUAUAGUUUCCACUAUCUUUUGUCUUCUAGCUCAUUUUUUAAUCUGAGAAGUUUCUAGAAGGUCGGAUGUCAACUCCUCCCCUCCCCCAAUCAAUAUGGACAAUGCUCACCAGCAAUUCAAUUCAAUCUCAUUCUAGUCUGGCCAAUGAAGCAAAGAUACUUAUUUUCCUAAAGAUCAGUCUAAGGAGGAAUGAAAGUGCUUCUUCUCUAAUCCAGCUCUGUGCUAGGCUCUGUCGGGGGGAAGAGAAGAAGACACUGUUUUGCCCUCUAGAGGUUUAUGGACUAGUUGGGCAAUGGAAGCAACCCGUGUGAAGCCGAAGAAAACAAGUCCACACACUGCUGCCUUUCACCAUGACGGGCAGGGAAGUCAAGAGGAAGGAAGUAUUGAGUGCCUGGGUGUGCAAGGAAGCCUUCUUGGAAAAGGUGGUCUUGAUCUGGGCUUUGGACAACAGGGAGGAUUAGGACAAAGGGAGAGGCACGAGUGGGGCAACCUGAAGUCUGCUGAGUGCAGAGCUGAGUGCUGCCUUCCGGACCUACCUUCUCUAGGCCUGAGAAGGCCUCCUAGGUCCUUGCCUGUCCUUGAACAUGAACAUGACCCAGCACCAAGCAUGGUACCUUUACUAAUAGGAGUUCAAAGUAAGACUUUUAUUAAUUUAUAACUAAUAGCUAUGUUUUAUUGAAUGCCUGCAAUGUGCAGAUCCUGAGCAAAGGGUUUUAGAAGCAGGAUUUCAUUGACUGCUGUGACUACGAAGAGGAUACUAUGAUUGGGCCCAUUUUACAGGUGGCAAACUGGGUGCCUGUGGCACACAGAGGUUACAUUAGUGAAAUGGCAGAGAAGGGAGUCGAACCAAGGUCUGCUUGCAGAGUCUGGGCCUAUUGCCACUACCUUAUAUUGCUGAGCAAUAUAACUGUUCGGUUUAUGUUGGAUACACUGACCAUGAUUUGGCAGGAGCAGAAGAAAAAAAAAAAGGAAUCCACAGAACUGCCCAGAUGCCAGGCAAGUUAAUCAAUGCCAGGACAACGGAGCACUGCUGCCAGGCCAGGGCCUCUCCCCCGCCUCCAGGCAGGACUCAGGGGCAACCUGAGCUGGAUGCAAGGGCAAGCCAGCGCAAUGUCACCUUACCGGUGUUUUAUUUCAGCAAUGGCCCGGGCAGGAGGGAGACCGCCUCAUUGAAAGAAUUGGCUCAUUCUGGAAUGGAGAUUCAUUUCCGACGGCCCCCUCCCACGUCUGCCCGGCUGGCUGGUGUUAGAGGGAGGAUAUUUUCAUAAGGAUGAACUGUUCUUGAACGUUUCCUGCCACUGCACAGGUCUCCCUUCAGCAGUCACAGGGCCUGUUAUCUAACACCUCCCUCCGCUUCCAAACAUAUUCACAUGGAAAUAAAGCCCCUCUAUGAAA